Molecule: ribosomal RNA, 253 nt
Filed under: uncultured bacterium
Lineage: Bacteria
Description: partial 16S ribosomal RNA
Rfam family: Bacterial small subunit ribosomal RNA
Source: RNAcentral
UACGUAGGGUCCGAGCGUUGUCCGGAAUUACUGGGCGUAAAGAGCUCGUAGGCGGUUUGUCACGUUGUUCGUGAAAACCCACAGCUCAACUGUGGGCGUGCGAGCGAUACGGGCAGACUAGAGUACUGCAGGGGAGACUGGAAUUCCUGGUGUAGCGGUGGAAUGCGCAGAUAUCAGGAGGAACACCGGUGGCGAAGGCGGGUCUCUGGGCAGUAACUGACGCUGAGGAGCGAAAGCGUGGGGAGCGAACAGG